CCUACGGGAGGCUGCAGUGGGGAAUAUUGGGCAAUGGAGGCAACUCUGACCCAGCAACGCCGCGUGAAUGAUGAAGGUCUUCGGAUUGUAAAGUUCUUUUCUAAGGGAAGAAGAAAGUGACGGUACCUUAGGAAUAAGCCUCGGCUAACUACGUGCCAGCAGCCGCGGUAAUACGUAGGAGGCAAGCGUUAUCCGGAAUGACUGGGCGUAAAGGGUGCGUAGGUGGUUUGACAAGUUAGUAGCGCAACUCCGGAGCUCAACUUCGGAACUACUACUAAAACUGUUGGACUUGAGUGCAGGAGGGGCAAUCGGAAUUCCUAGUGUAGCGGUGAAAUGCUUAGAUAUCACGAAGAACCCCGAUUGCGAAGGCAGCUUACUAAACUGUGACUGACAUUGAUGCUCGAAAGUGUGGGUAUCAAACAGGAUUAGAUACCCGUGUAGUC
This 443-nucleotide ribosomal RNA is filed under the name uncultured bacterium. Its description in RNAcentral is "partial 16S ribosomal RNA". It matches the Rfam family "Bacterial small subunit ribosomal RNA", at positions 338 to 795 of the family's 1533-position model. The record is from RNAcentral.